UACGUAGGGUGCGAGCGUUAAUCGGAAUUACUGGGCGUAAAGCGUGCGCAGGCGGUUUUGUAAGUCAGAUGUGAAAUCCCCGGGCCUAACCUGGGAACUGCAUUUGUGACUGCAUAGCUAGAGUUUGUCAGAGGGGGGUGGAAUUCCACGUGUAGCAGUGAAAUGCGUAGAUAUGUGGAGGAACACCGAUGGCGAAGGCAGCCCCCUGGGAUGUGACUGACGCUCAUGUACGAAAGCGUGGGGAGCAAACAGG
This 253-nucleotide ribosomal RNA is filed under the name uncultured bacterium. RNAcentral's name for it is "partial 16S ribosomal RNA". It matches the Rfam family "Bacterial small subunit ribosomal RNA", at positions 524 to 776 of the family's 1533-position model. The record is from RNAcentral.